This 467-nucleotide ribosomal RNA is filed under the name uncultured bacterium. Its description in RNAcentral is "partial 16S ribosomal RNA". It matches the Rfam family "Bacterial small subunit ribosomal RNA", at positions 28 to 506 of the family's 1533-position model. The record is from RNAcentral.
GACGAACGCUGGCGGCGCGCUUAACACAUGCAAGUCGAACGGAAAGGCCCUGCUUUUGUGGGGUGCUCGAGUGGCGAACGGGUGAGUAACACGUGAGUAACCUGCCCUUGACUUUGGGAUAACUUCAGGAAACUGGGGCUAAUACCGGAUAGGAGCUCCUGCUGCAUGGUGGGGGUUGGAAAGUUUCGGCGGUUGGGGAUGGACUCGCGGCUUAUCAGCUUGUUGGUGGGGUAGUGGCUUACCAAGGCUUUGACGGGUAGCCGGCCUGAGAGGGUGACCGGCCACAUUGGGACUGAGAUACGGCCCAGACUCCUACGGGAGGCAGCAGUGGGGAAUAUUGCACAAUGGGCGGAAGCCUGAUGCAGCAACGCCGCGUGCGGGAUGACGGCCUUCGGGUUGUAAACCGCUUUCGCCUGUGACGAAGCGUGAGUGACGGUAAUGGGUAAAGAAGCACCGGCUAACUACGG